RNAcentral lists this transfer RNA (73 nucleotides) under Camponotus floridanus (Florida carpenter ant). It matches the Rfam family "tRNA". From Rfam's summary of the family: Transfer RNA (tRNA) molecules are approximately 80 nucleotides in length. Their secondary structure includes four short double-helical elements and three loops (D, anti-codon, and T loops). The record is from Rfam by way of RNAcentral. Lineage: Eukaryota; Metazoa; Arthropoda; Insecta; Hymenoptera; Formicidae.
GUCUGGAUAGCUCAGUGGUCUAGAGCAGUUGCCCGGAAAGCGAAAGACUCGGGUUCGAUUCCAAAUCCAGCCA